This 736-nucleotide ribosomal RNA is filed under the name uncultured bacterium. RNAcentral describes it as "bacterial SSU rRNA". It matches the Rfam family "Bacterial small subunit ribosomal RNA", at positions 771 to 1501 of the family's 1533-position model. The record is from RNAcentral.
AACAGGAUUAGAUACCCUGGUAGUCCAUGCCGUAAACGUUGGGCACUAGGUGUGGGGGACAUUCCACGUUUUCCGCGCCGUAGCUAACGCAUUAAGUGCCCCGCCUGGGGAGUACGGCCGCAAGGCUAAAACUCAAAGGAAUUGACGGGGGCCCGCACAAGCGGCGGAGCAUGCGGAUUAAUUCGAUGCAACGCGAAGAACCUUACCAAGGCUUGACAUGGACUGGAAACACCUGGAAACAGGUGCCCCGCUUGCGGCCGGUUCACAGGUGGUGCAUGGUUGUCGUCAGCUCGUGUCGUGAGAUGUUGGGUUAAGUCCCGCAACGAGCGCAACCCUCGUUCCAUGUUGCCAGCGCGUAAUGGCGGGGACUCAUGGGAGACUGCCGGGGUCAACUCGGAGGAAGGUGGGGACGACGUCAAAUCAUCAUGCCCCUUAUGUCUUGGGCUUCACGCAUGCUACAAUGGCCGGUACAAAGGGUUGCGAUACUGUGAGGUGGAGCUAAUCCCAAAAAGCCGGUCUCAGUUCGGAUUGGGGUCUGCAACUCGACCCCAUGAAGUCGGAGUCGCUAGUAAUCGCAGAUCAGCAACGCUGCGGUGAAUACGUUCCCGGGCCUUGUACACACCGCCCGUCAAGUCACGAAAGUUGGUAACACCCGAAGCCGGUGGCCUAACCCCUUGUGGGAGGGAGCUGUCGAAGGUGGGACUGGCGAUUGGGACUAAGUCGUAACAAGGUAACC